This is a long non-coding RNA of Benincasa hispida (wax gourd), 6235 nucleotides long. RefSeq lists it as uncharacterized. Lineage: Eukaryota; Viridiplantae; Streptophyta; Magnoliopsida; Cucurbitales; Cucurbitaceae. The record is from RefSeq and is a predicted model, not a curated record.
UUAACUCAAAAGCUUAAGUCAAUAGAUCACAGUAAAAUAAUCUUAUACCUAUACUUUAAUACUCCCCUACUUGUGGACUUGAAAAUUUACACAAUACUUGACAAGUAUAAAUAUUAAUUGGAAAUGGAUUUUUCAAUUUGAUCGCCUGCUCUUUUUAAGAGAAUAAAAGUAUUUUAUUAUGUUCAAAUAUGUGAAACUUCUUCUUCUUUUUUUUUUUUUUUUUUUUUAUAAGAGAUAAUUUCAUUGAUGAAUGAAAUUACAAAAGAGAAGGGAAAGAAGCCCCAACAACAAAAGAGUUAUAAAAGACAUCUCCAAUUGGUCAAAAGAGUAUCAAAACUAUAACAAUUGAAUUGCUUAGAUAAUUUACACCAAGAGAGAAAUGCUAAUCACAUGAUCAAAAAAGAGGUCGAAAUGUUGGGUUUUGUUGUUGAAGAGACGAUUGAUCUGUUCAAACCAGACCUAUCAAAGGAAAACCCUAACAAUAUUUUUCCAAAGAAGACCUUUUCUCCCCUUGAAAGGAUGAUCAUCAAUAACAAGGGAGAGGAUUAGGUUGAUAUCCAGGGGAAAGACCAUAUGCCAAUUAAAAGGAAGAAGAAUGUGGUUCUAGAAGGUCCUUGAGAAAGCACAAAACAUAAAUAAAUGGCUUUGGGAUUCAUUGUCUUUUUUGCAAAGAUAGCACUAGUUGGAAUGGCUCCUCCAUACCAUCAAGAAGAGUGAUUUCCGCUAUAAUUUGAUUCUUUUGAAUGUCAACACAACCAAAGGUUUCUUCGUUCCAAGCUUUGAGGAUUUCUUUAAGGCCCUUCAACUUAACAAUAAAGCCAUGUCCCGGUCGCCCAAGCAAAGGAGUGUUCUUCCGCCAAUAAUCAACAAGGUCACCGAAAUCUUUGUGCAACAGCCACAUAUUUUCAAAGUGGAAAGGGGUGGGACCCCAUUUGUGACCAAUGGAUAGCAAGAUAGGGUAGUGGUCGGAUGUCGCUCUCCAAUCUCUUGGAUAUAGUGUAGGCAAAUUUCUGUUGAAUGCUUUCAGUUAUCAAAAAACAAUCUAUGAGUGUGAAGAUCGAGUAAUAUCUACGGGUCCAAAUCCAAUUGAUAUUUGGCGCAUGGAAAAGUCUGAUGAACGUUUGGCGGUCAAUGUGACUGAGGUUGCCUUGACCAGCUGUACGACAGAGCAGUAGAUACCAACAAGCAUUUUUCUUCUCCAAGGCGAACCAGGGUUACAUGGGAUCCGACACCCAAGGAGUCAGAAGUGAGCUUGGGCCCUUCUCUUAGUUUGUCUGACGCGAAAGGGAAAGGAAAGGCCCAUGUGCAGGAGUGUGAAUCUGAGCUUCUUAACAGACUGGCCUCGAAGGGCAUUAUUAUACUGAAGAAGACCCAUCCCACUGAAUCCAAUGAAUCCAAUAAAAAUAAAAGCUCCUUCCCUAAAGUCCAUAAGCCCAAAGGGAUUAAAUUUUCAAAUAAAUAUGAAGCCCAUACUUCUCUAAAUAAGGGUGUGAUCUGUUCCACGAACGUAAGGGAGACUUCUUCCUGAAAAAUGCAGAAUUGAAGAUCUACAAAAGUUGACCUCGAGCAAUCAUCGAAAAUUUCUCUCUCAGCCCAGGGAACUUGAUUUCUGAAAAUCAAUUUACUCCUCUGCUUGAGAAAAAUUCGGAGAUCCCAGACUUUCAGAUGGUCUUCCGCGAUGAUUUUGACUUGAGUUGAUGAAGGUGAAAAAAAUUUUGAUGCUUGACAAUCCAUCUCCUCUGCAUGAUCAAAACUUGAACUCAAUUGAAAUUAAGAGUGAAACUGAGCUCCAGUCAACUGUCUCCCCCUAAAAGACUGUUCCCCUUGAACAAGGAAGUGGUUGAAACUUUGUUAGAACAUAAUUUGUGUAUUCGUGCCAUCAUUUGAAAAGGAAAUGGGCACAGAAAAGGUGGGGCCUCAAAUAAAAACUAACCAGAGAAGUCAAAGCGCUGAUUAGCAGUUGGGAAAAGGAAGCGACAACGAUUAAAAAUAUUAGUUCUCAAGGCAUUAUUGUUUCUCCAUGUUAGUUCUCUCCUGGAAUGUUAGAGGUCUCAAUGCUCACCCCAAAAGAGCUUUGGUGAAGAAUUUGUUGGUUAAAUUCAAUCCGGAUGUUGUUAUUCUCUAAGAAUAAAAAAUUAGCGACAUUGAUAGAAAGAUGGUGAAGUCUAUAUGCAGUAGUCGUCAUAUAGGUUGGGUGGCUCUCAAUGCUAUUGGCUCAUCGGGAGGAAUUUUAAUUAUGUGGAAGGAAGAUUCUGUUACGAUGGUUGACUCUUUUCAAGAGAUUUUUGGUGUGUCGGAUGGGACUUCAAUGUCGUUAGAUGAGCUACUGAGAAGAGCUUGGGUGACCGUUCUACAAGAAGUAUGAAUCUGUUUAGCAACUUGAUAGAGGAGAUGGAGUUAGUCGAUAUUUCAUUUCGGAAUGGCUCUUUCUCGUGGUCCAGAUCAAGAAUUAGACCGGAAGCUUCAAAGAUUGACCGCUUUCUUCUCUCUAAACCGUGGCUAGAGUUUUUUAGAGAAGUCAAAGCUGACAAACUCCCACGUGUUACUUCAGAUCACUUCCCUAUUUUAUUAUCUUUAGGCGUGUAGUUGUGGGGUCUAACUCUAUUCAGAUUUGAAAAUGUUUGGCUUGAUCAUCACAUGUUUGGUAAGAAUUAAGAAGGUUGGUGGGCUAGCUUUAACGUUGAAGGAUGGUCGAACUAUGCUUUUAUGGAGAAGCUUAAAAUGGGAGGUGCUAAAAAGGUGGAAUAAGGAGGUCUUCGAAAAUAUCAUAACUCAAAAGAAAGCUUUGCUUGAGAAGAUUUGUUCUUUUGAUUCGAUGGAAGAUGCGGGUCCUCUCACUAAAGUUGAUACUAAGAAAGAGAGGAUUGUAAGGCUGCCCUCCUUGAGACUAUCAUUAAAGAACAGAGGAUCUAGGUCCAAAAAAGCAAAGUUCAUGGCUUUAAGAGGGUAAGGGAAACCCAAACUUCUUUCAUAGAUGGGUCUUGGCAAGAAAAAGUAAGAACUUAAUAUCGGUUUUAGAAAGUAAUGAUGGUCAGAUUCUUUUGACUGAAGACAAGAUUGUGAAUGAAAUUCUAUCUUUUUACACUACCCUUUAUAGUAUUAAAAUUCCCCAACCUUUCACCUUUGAAGGUGCUAACUGGGGGGCUCUUAGCCCUUACAACUCUUUAGCCUUGGAUGUUUUGUUUGAGGAACCUCAAAUCUCUGAGCCCAGAUGGUAUGACAGGUGAGUUUAAUAAAAAGUCUCCUGAAGCCCGAUUUAGCAGGGGUGUUCCAAGAUUUUUUUUAAAAAUGGUGUUAUCAAUAAAUGUCGCGAUGAGACGUACAUUUUCCUUAUCCCUAAGAAGAAGAAGGCCUCUCGGGUUAGUGACUUCAGACCUAUCAGUUUGGUGACCUCCCUGUACAAAAUCAUCUCCAAGGUGUUGGCUAAGAGACUAAAGAAAAUUCUGCCUUCAAUUGUGUAUGAUUCUCAGGCUGCCUUUGUGGAGGGGCAUCAAAUUCUCGAUGUUAUCUUAAUGGUUUCUGAAUCAGUGGCGAAAUAGAAGUCGUCUAGGAAAAAAGGUGCCCUCCUAAAGCUUGAUCUUGAGAAAGCGUAUCAUAAGGUUGAUUAAUUUUUUUUUUUUUUUUAUGCGGUUUUGAGGCUUAAGGGGUUCAGUAGAAAAUGGAUAAAGUGGAUUUGAGAGUGUCUUUCCUCGACUGACUUCUCUGUUCUUAUUAAUGGUAGACCAAGGAGUAAGAUUUAUGCCAAAAGGGGUUUGCAUCAGGGGGAUCCACUAGCUCCUUUUCUCUUCACGAUUGUGGGGGAUGCCCUUUGUAGCCUCAUUCACUUCUACAAUGAAAGGAAGUUUGUUAGAAGUUUCUCUUUUGGUUAAUAUGCACUCAGAUUUAACACAACUCCAGUAUGUUGUUCUUUUUUGCUCUUGGGAGAAUGGUAACCUCUCAGCAUGGUGGCUUGUUGUUGACUUGUUUCUUUUGGGAUCGCGGCUAUCUCUCAAUGUUACUAAAACUUCUAUCAUUGACAUCAACCUUGAUAGAGAGGAUGUGAAUCUUCACGCCACAAAGAUUGGAUGCAAAGUGGAGUCCUUCCCUUUUACGUACUUGGGCUUUCCUAUUGGAGGGAAGCAUAGUGCUAAGGAAGCUUAGAAGUUGCUUGAAGAGAGGCUCAAAGUUAAGGUGGACUGAGGAGAGGAAUUUCCCUCUCUAAAGAAGGUAGGUCUACUCUUAUUCCUUUCUAUUUAUUCUCCUUGAUGCAAGCUCCUAUUAACAUUAUCAACUGCCUUGAAAAGAUCAUUAGAGAUUUCGUUUGGGAUGGGGCCCAUGGGGGCCCUUGCAACCCUACCUCCUACCUUGUCACCUGGAAUUUGAUGUUUCUCCCAAUUACCUAUGGUGGCCUUGGAACUGGGUCACUUUGUUGGAAAAAAAAAAAAGAAGCUUUCCUUAUGAAAUGGCUUUGGAGGUUUUGCUAGGAAGAGAAUGCUCUAUGGAGACGUAAUAUUGGGGCUAUUUAUGGAGUAGAUGCUCACGGAUGGACUUCAGAGGCACCUAAGAAGGGAAGAAAAACUAGACUUUUGGCUGGCAUCUUAAAGCAUAAAGACCAGUGUUUUGAGUUUAUUUAUUAUAGGCAAUAAGAAAGUGAUCAGAUUUUGGGUGGACAAUUGGUGUGAUCGUCAACCCCUACCACAGAAAUUCUCCAAUAUCUUUACUUUAUCUUUGAAAAAAGAUGUUGUGAUAUAGGACUGCUGGUGUGCUUCCAGUCAAUCAUGGAAUCUGGACCUUAGAAGAAAUGUGUUUGAUAAAGAAUUGGGUGAUAUGGUGGCUAAUUCGGAAAUCUUAAACUCCUGGGCUGCCUCAGGUUGGUCGCAAUUGCCUCAAGUGGAAGGUUGACUCCUUAGGGAAGUUUACUACCAAAUCUACCUUUUUGAACGUCAUCAAAAGAAUCUCCUUCCCCAUCUUCCCUUUGGUAAAUCUUGUUUGGAAGCUUAAAAUCUCCCCUAAAAAAGUCAAAUUCUUCCUUUGGCCCUUGCUUAUAGAGGCUUAAAUACUCAUGAUAAGCUUCAAAGGACGUUUAAAAAUAUCCCUCUAGGCCCCUUUAUCUGCUGCUUUUGUUUGAAAGAUGAGGAAUCUCUUGAUCACUUAUUUCUCCAUUGUGAUUUUGCUAUUAAGGGGUGAACUCUUGUUUAGAACUUUUGGCUUGGAGCGUGGACUCCAAAACAAAGUUGAUGACUGGCUACUUGAUUGGCUUGAUUGUUUCUCCUUCGUGGGUAAAGGGAAAGUUCUUUUGAGGUGUGCUUCUCGGUCUCUUUUGUGGUGUCUCUGGAAGGAAAGGAAUUGUAGAGUUUUUAAAGAUAAGUAUACUUCUUUUGAUUCUUUUUGGACUGUUGUUCAACACACAACCUCUUGGUGGUGUACUAACCAUACCAAAUUCUUUUGUAAUUAUACUCUCCAUGAUUUUUAACAAUUGGAAGGCUCUUCUUAACUAGUGCUUUGGGGAGGGGUCUUCUUAUAAGUGAUUUUGAAUUAUUAUGUUUGGUUUCCAAAGUGACUUUAGAAUUAUCAAAUUAUAAAUAAUGACAUUUCCUAUUUGAGAAAUUAUUUUAAAAGGGCAAAAAAACUAUUCUUCAAAAUAAGGGGAAAUUCGGUAUUUCAAUAGAAGAAUACAAUGAAGGCAACUCUUUAACGGGAUCUCCAGUCAAUCAUCCACCAUGAAUCGCCUGGUAACUAAUUAUUGAAAACUCAGUUUUAAAUGUUUUUAGUUUUUUCUAAAAUCAAUUUCAACAUUUGUCAAACAUCAAUAUUUGAAAAGAAAGUAAUUUUUAUAACCAUUCUCAAACAUACACUAAUAUAAAGAUCUAAACUCUAGGACUGAGAGUGACUUUGGUAGGCAGCACAUCAAAACUCUUUGAAAAUUUCUAAGCACUCUCCUUUUACGAGAAUCACUUAAUUUGCUCUUCUUCCAAAAUUGUUUAGAGAAAUGCUUUCACAUAGUAACAAUUCUUUAUAAGCGUUUAUGAAGUCAUCCGUACAAGAACUUGGUGCAAUUAUGAUGUCGUUCAUUUGAUCACUACUUACUAAAGUGUAUGUGAUGGUUACUUGCAAUCUAAUCAGUUCUGUUUUGUAACAAUUGAUUGCCAAAAGACCAUUAAUGAUUUUUUUUCCAGGAUAAGAAACAAUUUCAUUAACAAAUGAAAUAAAAAAAGAAUUACAAAAAAAAAAAAAAAAAAAAAAAAAAAAAAAAAAA